This 976-nucleotide unclassified non-coding RNA is filed under the name Hevea brasiliensis (rubber tree). Lineage: Eukaryota; Viridiplantae; Streptophyta; Magnoliopsida; Malpighiales; Euphorbiaceae. The record is from RNAcentral.
CUUUUUACUAGAAGCUUUUUAUAACACGCAAAAAACACAUAAUUAAAGAAAAAAGAAAAAAGAAUUUUUGUAAAUUCAACGUUUGACCUGUCCCCUACUCCCUCCUCUAUAUUCAUUCAUUCAUUCGAUUCUUGAUGGAGUUGACAACAUCUUCACCCUUUGCCACAGCACAUAGCCACCACUGCGACCGCCACCAGACCAAGAAGAGGUUUCUGAUGAACCACCCAUUGUAAGAAGGAAAAUCAAGUGGAAGAGAAGACAUGGCCUUAAAGAAAGCUGCCGAGGAUGCUAUUGAGGCUAUUGGUUUGGGAUUUGAUAUAGUUGCUGAUUUAAGCCUUAAGUACUGCAAGAAGAAUUCCUCUCGAUUGAUCUUGUUGGACGAUGAUAAAGUCAGGGAUCUCGUGAUUCCAGGCGGGUUUUCCAUUCGGAACAUCCCCAAAUCCAUCAAAUGCGAUAAAGGCGAGUUCAUGAGGUUCAGCUCUGAUGUUCUUUCUUUCCAGCAGAUGUCAGAGCAGUUUAACCAGGAACUAUCUCUUUCUGGAAAAAUUCCUUCUGGCCAUUUCAAUGCUGCAUUUGAAUUUACAGGAGUUUGGCAGACGGAUGCUGCCAAUACUAAAGCUCUUGCAUUUGAUGGUGUUUUUAUCACACUUUACAACAUUGCAAUAGAAAAAUCCCAGGUAGUUCUGUGUGAUCAUGUCAAAGAAGCUGUCCCUUCAACAUGGGAGCCUGCUGCAUUGGCAAGUUUUAUAGAAAAAUAUGGUACUCAUGUGGUCAUUGGUGUCAAAAUGGGGGGAAGGGAUAUAGUAUAUGUGAAGCAGACAUAUACUGAUCAGCAGCACUUAUCGCCUCUUGAGCCUGUUGAUGUACAGAAAAAAUUAAAAGACAUGGCAGACAAGCUGUUUGUAGAUGGAACUGGACAGAAUAUCUCAGAAAAGUUUGUCAAGGAUCAUGGAUUCACUUUCACAGACCAGUUUCC